RNAcentral lists this long non-coding RNA (248 nucleotides) under Gossypium raimondii (Peruvian cotton). Its description in RNAcentral is "long non-coding RNA (GRAI_LNC005260)". Lineage: Eukaryota; Viridiplantae; Streptophyta; Magnoliopsida; Malvales; Malvaceae. The record is from RNAcentral.
UGGGGAAGAGGGGGAGAGGGAGAGAGAAUCAGAGUAGGGGGAGGGAUGGUGGGGAAGAGGGAGAGGGAUGGGAGGGGGAUGGAAAAUGGUAGUUUGGUUAAGCCUAUAACGGAAAAUGGCAGCUCUAUUACGUCUAUAACAGAAAAUGGUUAGUGGUGACUGUUUUGUUAUUUUUUGAAAGUUAAGUGAUUGAAUUGAAACCUGAGUGAUUGUUUUGUCAGCUACCCUAAAGUUGAGUGACUAUUGGU